RNAcentral lists this ribosomal RNA (511 nucleotides) under uncultured bacterium. RNAcentral's name for it is "bacterial SSU rRNA". It matches the Rfam family "Bacterial small subunit ribosomal RNA", at positions 10 to 518 of the family's 1533-position model. The record is from RNAcentral.
AGUACUACUGGCUCAGGAUGAACGCUAGCUACAGGCUUAACACAUGCAAGUCGAGGGCAGCAUUAGAUUAGCUUGCUAAUUAGAUGGCGACCGGCGCACGGGUGAGUAACGCGUAUCCAACCUUCCCCCUGCUCAGGGAUAGCCCGGUGAAAACCGGAUUAAGACCUGAUAGUUUCACUAGAUGGCAUCUGACGGUGAAUAAAGGUUUCGGCAAGGGAUGGGGAUGCGUCUGAUUAGCUUGUUGGCGGGUAACGGCCCACCAAGGCGACGAUCAGUAGGGUUCUGAGAGGAAGGUCCCCCACAUCGGAACUGAGACACGGUCCAAACUCCUACGGGAGGCAGCAGUGAGGAAUAUUGGUCAAUGGGCGGAAGCCUGAACCAGCCAAGUAGCGUGCAGGAAGACGGCCCUAUGGGUUGUAAACUGCUUUUGUGCGGGAAUAAAGUCAGGGACGCGUCCCUGUUUGCAUGUACCGCAAGAAUAAGGACCGGCUAAUUCCGUGCCAGCAGCUGC